This is a long non-coding RNA of Camelina sativa (false flax), 531 nucleotides long. RefSeq lists it as uncharacterized. Lineage: Eukaryota; Viridiplantae; Streptophyta; Magnoliopsida; Brassicales; Brassicaceae. The record is from RefSeq and is a predicted model, not a curated record.
UAAGCUUUUUUUUGUUGUUCCUACUCUGUUUGCAAUUAUCCAUUGCAUUGAUGCUGAAGUUUUUUUUUUUCUUUUUUCCCCUUGUUUGGGUGAUUUCGUCUUCGCUUCGUAUACCUAGUGGUUAAUUGGUUCUCCCCUGGUUAUUUCGUUGAAGGUAUACUUGUGGCCAGAAGAAGAUUGUGUACUCUGGCUCAUGGUGAAAGCGUAGAACCGUUGGGUCAUUUCUUAAAGAAGGAGUGAAAAAAGAGGACAAACCUGGGAGUUCUGUAUUGGUGUUUGCAAGGGACAUCAACUGCUCGUGAGUCCUAAACCAAAAAAAAAACUGAUGCGCUCGUCAACCUCAUCUAAAACAGUGGAAGGUGUGAAGCGUAUCGAGAAAGAGGAAACAAUGAGCUUAAAACGGGCGUUGCUUUUUGUAUAAUGAUGGCUUAAAUGAUUAAAAUGUACAUUAGUUGUUACAUGCGCUUGGAAUCGAAGCAAUCUAUUAUUAUUACUAAAUGAGCACCCGCGCUACGCUGCGGGUUUUUUCUA